Long non-coding RNA from Lolium rigidum, 1243 nucleotides. RefSeq lists it as uncharacterized. The transcript is spliced from 3 exons. Lineage: Eukaryota; Viridiplantae; Streptophyta; Magnoliopsida; Poales; Poaceae. The record is from RefSeq and is a predicted model, not a curated record.
GUCGCUCACAUGGUUUGUAUGUUGCUCUCUUACCUGCAGGUUAUCUUCGUGCUGGAGCUUGCCGUGUCGAGUGGUUGCUGCUUGGAUAUGGGUUUGCCUAUGCUACACGUAGUAUCUUCCAGGCUCACUCUUUUGUGCCUAUGUGGAUGGUUGUUUUGAUCAAAUGGUACUAUCUUAUAUCCAUACCCUCUAGCCACGCAUGUUCGUUUUACCAUCACCGUGAGAAGCUUAGCCCUUCAGGGUGGUGGUGGUGGUUGGAGGUGAAGGCAAGGUGGUUUUUCUUGAUGAUUUUUCAUUUGUUACUGAACAAGACUCUGAACAUAUUUAGUUCAUGUCUUUCUAUCUUAUAGCAGUGUAAAGGAACCUCUUGCAGGGUAGUACAUUGUUCCUUCUCUAUAUUCUCUGUGUGGAAAACAAAACACAUAUUUACCACUUAGUAAUAUUCUGAAUGUUGUGUUUAUUGCUCCAGAUUGUUUCCAAAUACAUAGAUAAGGAUUUAUUUGCACACAAACUUGGUAAGUUCAGUCUGGUUGGUGAUUGUGGCGCUUAGCAUACAGAGCACGACCGGUGUUGUUUUGUCACAUUGAGACAAGGUGAUGGUCUCUUCCUCCAUAUUAGGCGAUGUCCUUUCUGAAUCCUCUCUGUGAUGCCAAUAUUGAUGCAUAAGGUCGUUGAUAAUUUGGCGAUAUUAUAUAAUGGAUUGCAGGUGACUAACUCAACUAUAUUUAGGUGUACGAAAAAAUAUAGAGCAAGUUGAUUUUACCGAAUUAGUUAUUACUAAUUGAGAAAGGCUAAGUGGCUUACCUGAGAUGUUGCACAUUAUUACUUAUUUAUUUCACAAUGCAAGUGUCAUGAUGUUGUAACUGUGGAUGUUUGGACAUGAACAUUGUUUCUUACAAAUUACUGUACUCAUUUUCUCUACACAAAAAUGAACUCAUGCCUACUUGUUCCAUUGCUUGGUAGUUCAUGGUUGGCAUAUGUACUGCUUAAUGGGAAAGCUAGAUCAUUUAUAACAAAUGCAAGAUUCUAGAGAAAAGAAGAAGAAAAAUUCAUUUAUCCUCCUUGAACUAUCCCAAGAGUUGGCUUUUAGACCUAAAUCUUGUGCAUGCCAAAGCUAUGGUACACAAACUUCUAUAUUUAUCUCUUCAUUUGGCACAAGUUAUUUUUUUUAUUUAAUCCUUAAACAAGUAAUAUCUAUGUAUCACAGGGAUGUCAAUCACAACAUAGCAAUCCAGCUAUAGGA